CUUUCCCUCUGUCGGCAGGCCUAACACAUGCAAGUCGAACGGUAACAGGGAUCAGCUUGCUGAUUCGCUGACGAGUGGCGGACGGGUGAGUAAUGUCUGGGAAACUGCCUGAUGGAGGGGGAUAACUACUGGAAACGGUAGCUAAUACCGCAUAACGUCGCAAGACCAAAGAGGGGGACCUUCGGGCCUCUUGCCAUCGGAUGUGCCCAGAUGGGAUUAGCUAGUAGGUGGGGUAACGGCUCACCUAGGCGACGAUCCCUAGCUGGUCUGAGAGGAUGACCAGCCACACUGGAACUGAGACACGGUCCAGACUCCUACGGGAGGCAGCAGUGGGGAAUAUUGCACAAUGGGCGCAAGCCUGAUGCAGCCAUGCCGCGUGUAUGAAGAAGGCCUUCGGGUUGUAAAGUACUUUCAGCGGGGAGGAAGGGAGUAAAGUUAAUACCUUUGCUCAUUGACGUUACCCGCAGAAGAAGCACCGGCUAACUCCGUG
Molecule: ribosomal RNA, 490 nt
Filed under: uncultured bacterium
Lineage: Bacteria
Description: partial 16S ribosomal RNA
Rfam family: Bacterial small subunit ribosomal RNA
Source: RNAcentral